UACGGAGGAUCCAAGCGUUAUCCGGAAUCAUUGGGUUUAAAGGGUCCGUAGGCGGGAUGAUAAGUCAGUGGUGAAAGUCUGCAGCUCAACUGUAGAACUGCCAUUGAUACUGUUGUCCUUGAGUUACUGUGAGGUGGUUGGAAUAUGUAGUGUAGCGGUGAAAUGCAUAGAUAUUACAUAGAAUACCGAUUGCGAAGGCAGAUCACUAAUAAGAUACUGACGCUGAUGGACGAAAGCAUGGGGAGCGAACAGG
RNAcentral lists this unclassified non-coding RNA (253 nucleotides) under uncultured Flavobacteriaceae bacterium. Its description in RNAcentral is "contains 16S-23S intergenic spacer region". It matches the Rfam family "Bacterial small subunit ribosomal RNA", at positions 524 to 776 of the family's 1533-position model. Lineage: Bacteria; Pseudomonadati; Bacteroidota; Flavobacteriia; Flavobacteriales; Flavobacteriaceae. The record is from RNAcentral.